AGUGAACGCUGGCGGUAGGCCUAACACAUGCAAGUCGAACGGCAGCACAGUAAGAGCUUGCUCUUACGGGUGGCGAGUUGCGGACGGGUGAGGAAUACAUCGGAAUCUACUUUUUCGUGGGGGAUAACGUAGGGAAACUUACGCUAAUACCGCAUACGACCUACGGGUGAAAGCAGGGGAUCUUCGGACCUUGCGCGAUUGAAUGAGCCGAUGUCGGAUUAGCUAGUUGGCGGGGUAAAGGCCCACCAAGGCGACGAUCCGUAGCUGGUCUGAGAGGAUGAUCAGCCACACUGGAACUGAGACACGGUCCAGACUCCUACGGGAGGCAGCAGUGGGGAAUAUUGGGCAAUGGGCGCAAGCCUGAUCCAGCCAUACCGCGUGGGUGAAGAAGGCCUUCGGGUUGUAAAGCCCUUUUGUUGGGAAAGAAAAGCAGCAGGUUAAUACCCCGCUGUUCUGACGGUACCCAAAGAAUAAGCACCGGCUAACUUCGUG
RNAcentral lists this ribosomal RNA (492 nucleotides) under uncultured bacterium. RNAcentral's name for it is "partial 16S ribosomal RNA". It matches the Rfam family "Bacterial small subunit ribosomal RNA", at positions 29 to 507 of the family's 1533-position model. The record is from RNAcentral.